Molecule: ribosomal RNA, 105 nt
Filed under: Anzia colpota
Lineage: Eukaryota; Fungi; Ascomycota; Lecanoromycetes; Lecanorales; Parmeliaceae
Description: partial large subunit ribosomal RNA
Rfam family: Eukaryotic large subunit ribosomal RNA
Source: RNAcentral
GAAUUGACCUCGGAUCAGGGUAGGGAUACCCGCUGAACUUAAGCAUAUCAAUAAGCGGAGGACAAGAAACCAACGGGGAUUGCCUCAGUAACGGCGAGUGAAGCG